This 72-nucleotide transfer RNA is filed under the name Bos taurus (domestic cattle). It matches the Rfam family "tRNA". From Rfam's summary of the family: Transfer RNA (tRNA) molecules are approximately 80 nucleotides in length. Their secondary structure includes four short double-helical elements and three loops (D, anti-codon, and T loops). Further hydrogen bonds mediate the characteristic L-shaped molecular structure. tRNAs have two regions of fundamental functional importance: the anti-codon, which is responsible for specific mRNA codon recognition, and the 3' end, to which the tRNAs corresponding amino acid is attached (by aminoacyl-tRNA synthetases). tRNAs cope with the degeneracy of the genetic code in two manners: having more than one tRNA (with a specific anti-codon) for a particular amino acid; and 'wobble' base-pairing, i.e. permitting non-standard base-pairing at the 3rd anti-codon position. RNAcentral also lists the same sequence under 4 other names. The record is from Rfam by way of RNAcentral. Lineage: Eukaryota; Metazoa; Chordata; Mammalia; Artiodactyla; Bovidae.
UCCCUUGUGGCUCAGACAGUAAAGAAUCCACCUGUAACGUGGGAGACCUGGGUUCGAUCCCUAGGAUGGGAA